RNAcentral lists this ribosomal RNA (418 nucleotides) under uncultured bacterium. Its description in RNAcentral is "bacterial SSU rRNA". It matches the Rfam family "Bacterial small subunit ribosomal RNA", at positions 355 to 786 of the family's 1533-position model. The record is from RNAcentral.
UGGGGAAUAUUGCACAAUGGGGGAAACCCUGAUGCAGCAACGCCGCGUGAAGGAUGAAGGUUUUCGGAUCGUGAACUUCUAUCAACAGGGACGAAACAAAUGACGGUACCUGAAUAAGAAGCCCCGGCUAACUACGUGCCAGCAGCCGCGGUAAUACGUAGGGGGCAAGCGUUAUCCGGAAUUACUGGGUGUAAAGGGAGCGUAGGCGGCACGUCAAGCCAGAUGUGAAAGCCCGGGGCUUAACCCCGUGGAUUGCAUUUGGAACUGGCGAGCUAGAGUACAGGAGAGGAAAGCGGAAUUCCUAGUGUAGCGGUGAAAUGCGUAGAUAUUAGGAAGAACACCAGUGGCGAAGGCGGCUUUCUGGACUGAAACUGACGCUGAGGCUCGAAAGCGUGGGGAGCAAACAGGAUUAGAUACC